Molecule: ribosomal RNA, 465 nt
Filed under: uncultured bacterium
Lineage: Bacteria
Description: partial 16S ribosomal RNA
Rfam family: Bacterial small subunit ribosomal RNA
Source: RNAcentral
GACGAACGCUGGCGGCGUGCUUAACACAUGCAAGUCGAACGGAAAGGCCCCCUUGUGGGUUCCUCGAGUUGCGAACGGGUGAGUAACACGUGAGUAACCUACCCUUGCCUUUGGGAUAACUUCAGGAAACUGGGCCUAAUACCGUAUCGGAGCUCCUGCUGCAUGGUGGGGUUUGGUAAGUUUCGGCGGUUGGGGAUGGACUCGCGGCUUAUCAGCUUGUUGGUGGGGUAGUGGCUCACCAAGGCUUUGACGGGUAGCCGGCCUGAGAGGGUGACCGGCCACAUGGGGACUGAGAGACGGCCCAGAAUCCUACGGGAGGCAGCAGUGGGGAAUAUGGCAGAAUGGGCGGAAGCCUGAUGCAGCAACGCCGCGUGCGGGAUGACGGCCUUCGGGGUGUAAACAGCUUUCGCCGGUGACGAAGCGGGAGUGACGGUAAUGGGUAAAGAAGCACCGGCUAACUACGUG